CCCUUUGUCUAGUGGUUAGGAUGUUCGGCUCGGAACCCAAAGGUCCCCAGUUCUAUCCCCCUGCCGCCAAAGUGG
This 75-nucleotide transfer RNA is filed under the name Araneus ventricosus. RNAcentral's name for it is "tRNA-Pro". Lineage: Eukaryota; Metazoa; Arthropoda; Arachnida; Araneae; Araneidae. The record is from RNAcentral.